GAAGCUCAGUGGUAAAGCAUCUGCUUUGCAUGCAAAAGUUCCCAGGUUUAAUUCCCAGCAUCUUCA
This is a non-coding RNA of Podarcis lilfordi (Lilford's wall lizard), 66 nucleotides long. The record is from the annotation of a GenBank genome assembly. NCBI's taxonomy places the organism in Eukaryota, Metazoa, Chordata, Lepidosauria, Squamata, Lacertidae.